RNAcentral lists this ribosomal RNA (491 nucleotides) under uncultured bacterium. RNAcentral's name for it is "partial 16S ribosomal RNA". It matches the Rfam family "Bacterial small subunit ribosomal RNA", at positions 29 to 506 of the family's 1533-position model. The record is from RNAcentral.
AGUGAACGCUGGCGGUAGGCCUAACACAUGCCAGUCGAACGGCAGCACAGUAAGAGCUUGCUCUUACGGGUGGCGAGUGGCGGACGGGUGAGGAAUACAUCGGAAUCUACUUUUUCGUGGGGGAUAACGUAGGGAAACUUACGCUAAUACCGCAUACGACCUACGGGUGAAAGCAGGGGAUCUUCGGACCUUGCGCGAUUGAAUGAGCCGAUGUCGGAUUAGCUAGUUGGCGGGGUAAAGGCCCACCAAGGCGACGAUCCGUAGCUGGUCUGAGAGGAUAAUCAGCCACACUGGAACUGAGACACGGUCCAGACUCCUACGGGAGGCAGCAGUGGGGAAUAUUGGACAAUGGGCGCAAGCCUGAUCCAGCCAUACCGCGUGGGUGAAGAAGGCCUUCGGGUUGUAAAGCCCUUUUGUUGGGAAAGAAAAGCAGCAGGUUAAUACCCCGCUGUUCUGACGGUACCCAAAGAAUAAGCACCGGCUAACUUCGU